CGGCGCCUCAAUGAGUUUGUAUCACUGUGGUGGACUUUUGGUGGAGGAACCAGACUGGAAUUUGGAAGUGAUACCCGCCCCGCCCUGAAGGUGCUGGGUCCUUCUAGUGAGGAGCUGAUGCAGGGAAUGGCCACACUCACAUGUCUGGCCAACAAGGGCUUCCCCUCAGACUGGAGGCUGUCCUGGAAGGUGGAUGGCAGUGGCAGCAUCAGCCGGGAGGAGAGCAGGAGCCCUGUGGUGCAGGAGAACGAUGGCCUCUACAGCUGGAGCAGCACCCUGAGGCUCCCUGCAUACCAGUGGGAGAAGGUGGGCUCUGUGACCUGCGAGGCCACCCAGGGCUCCCAGACUCUGGUCUCAGAGAUACUGAGGAGAGACCAGUGUUCCCAGUCCUGAUGUCAAUCACUGAGUCUUUGAUGCUGUUUUUCUUGUGGUACUGCUCUUUGGUUAUGUGCUGUAAUAUCCUUUGUUUCCUUGUUACUUCUACUUCUCAUAUAAAAAAAAAAAACAAUAAAAAUUGUUGCAUUUCAUAAAUACAAAAAUCAUAACAAAUGCCUCUACAUUCAUCCUUGUGUG
Non-coding RNA from Pelmatolapia mariae (spotted tilapia), 573 nucleotides. NCBI's taxonomy places the organism in Eukaryota, Metazoa, Chordata, Actinopteri, Cichliformes, Cichlidae. The record is from the annotation of a RefSeq genome assembly.